Molecule: ribosomal RNA, 440 nt
Filed under: uncultured bacterium
Lineage: Bacteria
Description: bacterial SSU rRNA
Rfam family: Bacterial small subunit ribosomal RNA
Source: RNAcentral
CCUACGGGAGGCAGCAGUGGGGAAUAUUGCACAAUGGGGGAAACCCUGAUGCAGCAACGCCGCGUGAGCGAUGAAGGCCUUCGGGUCGUAAAGCUCUGUCCUAAGGGAAGAAUAUUGACGGUACCUUAGGAGGAAGCCCCGGCUAACUACGUGCCAGCAGCCGCGGUAAUACGUAGGGGGCUAGCGUUAUCCGGACUUACUGGGCGUAAAGGGUGCGUAGGCGGCCCUUCAAGUCAGAGGUGAAAGGCUAGGGCCCAACCGUAGUAAGCCUUUGAAACUGUAGGGGUUGAGGGCAGGAGCGGAGAGUGGAAUUCCCAGUGUAGCGGCGAAAUGCGUAGAUAUUGGGAGGAACACCAGUUGAGAAGGCGGCUCUCUGGACUGUACCUGACGCUGAGGCACGAAAGCGUGGGGAGCGAACAGGAUUAGAUACCCGAGUAGUA